This 830-nucleotide unclassified non-coding RNA is filed under the name Hevea brasiliensis (rubber tree). The record is from RNAcentral. Lineage: Eukaryota; Viridiplantae; Streptophyta; Magnoliopsida; Malpighiales; Euphorbiaceae.
AAAAAAAAAUAAAUAAAUAAAAAGCAGAGCAAAAAAUAGAAGCAUAAAUUUAAAUUUAGUAACAUGUCAGACUCUAAAUAGCCAAAUUUUCAUAAUGAACAUGGCAACAAUUCUAGUGGCCUUUAUAAAACUCUCCAAUAUUAUUUGUUCCCAUACUUUUCAAGCUCCAGAAAUGGUGGUCCUGAAACUCAAAGAACAAGAAACAGGGAACCAUCUUAAUUGCUACCCCUAUUCACUUUGUAACACUACAGAUUGCUCCAUCUCUAGACCUAUGAAAAACCAGGAAGGCAAUAUCCAUAUCUUCUCUUUAGGAUCAGUGAAACAUAAAAAUAAUUACGGUGAAACAGAACUAACCCAGAAAUCUCAUGGCAAGAGAAAAAUUAUUUUCCUACCCACAGCCCAUGAUCAAAAGUGAAUCUAUAUACAGCACAUGGUCCACAUCACAUACAUUUAAUAGCACCGCCCUGGCUUAAAAAAUCUAAUUUUAAAUUAAACUAACAUUAUUUAGUUCAGUAAUCCUAGCUGUAGUGCUACCAUAAGACAGUUAUAUAUGGAUGGAAUUUUAGAAACCCUAAUUUUAUGAAAAUGCAAAUAGAGAAGGGAUAUCUAAUAUUUUUAAGCAUAAAAGAGGAAAAGAAAAAGAAAAUAAAAAGGAAAAGCUCUCAUGAAAUAACAGAGAAUCGAAUCAGAGCGAAAGGUCCACCUUUUUCCAGGAGAAUCCGCCUGCGAAAUAAGCAAAUUGCAUGGAUAAGAUCUCUAAGUUCUAAAAAUCAAACGCAAAAGGGAAUAAUCAUUAACAUGGAAUAGUAAGAGAAAGAAAGGAUCUCACC